RNAcentral lists this ribosomal RNA (326 nucleotides) under uncultured eukaryote. RNAcentral describes it as "partial 18S ribosomal RNA". It matches the Rfam family "Eukaryotic small subunit ribosomal RNA", at positions 1470 to 1796 of the family's 1831-position model. The record is from RNAcentral.
CCCUUAGAUGUUCUGGGCCGCACGCGCGCUACACUGACGAAUGCAACGAGCUUAUAACCUUGGCCGAAAGGUCUGGGUAAUCUCCAAAUUUCGUCGUGAUGGGGAUAGAUUAUUGCAAUUAUUAAUCUUCAACGAGGAAUGCCUAGUAAGCGCAAGUCAUCAGCUUGCGUUGAUUACGUCCCUGCCCUUUGUACACACCGCCCGUCGCACCUACCGAUUGAAUGGUCCGGUGAAAUCUUGGGAUUUUGUUUUGUUUGCAUUUAUUUGUAUCGAGACGAGAGAACUUGAGUAAACCUUACCAUUUAGAGGAAGGUGAAGUCGUAACA